UCACUCACUCAUCAUCUAUAAAUUGUAAGGACGUGGUUUACAUAUCCUUCACCUCAAUAUUCCUUCUUCUCUUAGGUCUGAUAUCGUCGUCUCUUCCUCUUACUAUUUCUGGUUUCGAAGUCACUUUUGCUUUUCCGAUUUCGUUUUCUUGAGUUUUUUUUUUUCUCCUUUCUCUAAGUUUACGCUGUGAUGAACACUUUAGUGUACCAAAGACGAGGCUUUUCGGAGUCAAAUCAGUGAUGGUAACACAACCUCUAAGAAGUUCUGAGCGCUUCUCUAUUAUCUUCUGCAAUUUUGAAAUUAGGGUUUCUUUGUGUUACUUUUUGGCUGAUUACAGUUUGUCUAUCUCUUGGAUUUCGUUGUGAUGGGUUUGGAUGGAGGAGAAUGGAGUGGCGUUGAUGUCUACUCGUGAAUCUCGAACAGGUGAUGAAAGAGAUUACUUUUUAACUGAGAAAUUUCAAUGAAGCUUCAAUUAUAGAGCUUUUUAAAACUGAUGCUCAGCCCCUAAGGUUCUCUUUCCUGCUUUUAUUAAUUUGGAUCUAUUUAGUUAUUUUAUUUUUUAAAAAUUACAAAAUCUUACAUGGGAACAAUCAGCAUUCAUAUUUGGAAUCGAUGGCAUCUCCCAAACCUUAAGAAACAGAAUUGAGGAAAAUGAUGUAAAUAUUUUCAUUUAUUUAUAAUUUGUUGGAGUUUUUGAUUCAAAAGUUUUGUUGAUAUUAGUUCAAAAUAAAAGUUUAAUUUGAUUUUAUGUUAUUUUAUUUACUUAAGAAUAAGAAAAAAGAACAUAGAAAAUAAUGAAGGUUUCAUGUGAAUUCAUUCAUGGCCAAUUCAAAAGAGAAUUGAUAAUGUGACUAUGGUCACAAGAAUCUUGAUGAAUUGCCAAUGAUAUUCAUAUUUGAUCUUUAUUUUUCUAUUAUUUUUUUUUAAAUCAAUAAAAUAAUAGAAAUCAAUGGAACUUAAUUUUUGUAAUGAGAUCUUCAAAUCUAUUGAAUCAAAAACUCCAAAAAAUUACAAUUUUUGAAAAAAUAGUAUUUUUCUUCUUAAUUUUAAUAUUAAAUCUAUGAAAUAGAUUAUUUUUAAUUAUGAAAAGAAAAUAUGUAAUGCAUAACACUUACGGGUUUUCUUUUUUAUUUAAAGCAGGCAUUGGAUGAUAGAUGUAGACUAGGAUGAAUUUGAUUUUAUUUUUACAACUUUGUAGCCACGCUAUUCUUUUCAUGUGUAUAAUUUUGUCUGUUGGUACUGAAAAUCAACUCCAUCAUAAAUCAACCCGAUCAUAUUUGGUAUGGUAAUGAUAUUGUACUGCAUAUUGAUACCAUAUCAAAUAUGGUUAUUGAAUAUUCAUACAACAUCAAAUAUUGCUACUUAACCAAAAAUUGAUACCUUAUAAGAUAAGGUAUUCAUAUCAUCCCACAUCUAAUAUUGGUAUCGAAUAUUGAAGUGAACAAAUUUGGUGUGGUAUCAAUAUGAGGUUCUUGUAUCGAAUCAUUAUUUUAUAUGGUAUGGGUCUUGUAUUGUAUUGAUAUUGUACCAUCAAUUUUUUUAUUGUACCAACUAUUGAUACCAUACAUUAUUGACACCCUUGUCCACUGAUACCAUACAUGAUUGACAACCUUAGCUUUGGCAUUAUUUGCAUUAAAUUAUGAAAUAAAAUUUUGAAUAUUAAAGGGGUUGUCUAAUUGACAAUCAAGGAUAUGUAAUCUAUGGUGAAAAUAAAUAUAUCUACAAAAUAAAGAGUGGUUUUGGGAGGGACUCUCCGAUGCUUAAGUCAGUGUUUAAAAUAUUGAUUUAUGCACACUGACUUAGGCAUCGGAGAGCUCCUCCCAGAACUUCUUUAACCUUGAUUUAUUUUGUAAGUAUUUUCACAAUUAACGUUUGGGUUUUGGCUAAGCUUCUUUGAUGUGUGUAGCAUAAUCUUUUUGUACCCAAUGGGUUUCGGUAUAAAUUAAAACUAGUUGAUAGCUUUCCUACCAAUGUCUCUUUUAACCAACGGUUUUUAGGGGACAUAUGUGACUAAACCAAUAAUAUAUUUUAGAUAUGGGUAAGAUUACUGAUGCCUUGUUUGGUGGGCCUUUUAUUAGUGAGUGGGCAAAUGAGAGCACAUAUAGGGGCAUCAGCUUGAAAAGAUUUUUUAUUUCUUAAAUGGUGGACCACUUAAAAAUCUUGCACCAAGAACGCGGUACAGUUUAUAAUUGGGUAGCUCGCAUGCAGUUUAUAAUUGGGGGUUACUUUAAAUAGACUUUAAUUGGUUAAGGACAUAUUUAAGUCUAAACGGGUUCAAAUGAGCUUUAAAUGUGUUUCCCUUAAAAUUUUUUUUUUUGAAGUGAAUGAAGACUUAUUAUAAUUCAAUUUGAAUAUUAAAUCAUUAUAGUUUUAUAAAUAUAAUAUAUAUAUACGAAGGUGACCCUAAUCUUUAGUAAGAGAAAAGAUGAGACUAUGGUUGCUUUUUAAUAAAGGGGGUUGGGCUAUAAUGUGUUGAUUUAGGUUUGGUCUAUGGUCGGUAGUCUGACGGGUUAAUUAUGUGCAUUGUGAAUGCCCAAGCUUGACACGUUUAUUAAGCGGGGUGGUUCAAAUAGGGCUAUAAAUGGUCGGGCUUGAUCGGUAAGCCCAAAAUUGACACCCAUAUCUAUAUUACCUGUUAAUUCCUACAUGCUUUAAAUUAUAUUAAUUAACAAUCAUCCAAAAUUUUAAGAACACUAAAUACAAAAACGGAGUGAAUCCCAUUUGCGUGUUGACUUCUAGGGAUAAUUUAUAUAUACCCUUCUACCGAAUUGCUUUUAACAAAUUAAUAUCUCUAUAAUUGAAUUUAUCCAAAAUAUCUUUUGAUCUUUUGUGAUUAUGUAUCAUUUCUUCUUCUUUCCCCGUUUCCUUCUAAACAUAUCCUUAGUGCUAUGAGUCCAGACCAACAAUGGAGUUGACUUAUUGAACUUAAAGUCAAACCAAUAUUCAAAUAUGGGUAAGAUAUUGGUGCCUCGUCAUGUGCCCUUUUUUUUUUUUAGUGUGUAGGCCAAUGAGAGCACAUAUAGGGGCAUCAAUAUAGAAAGAUCUUAAGAUAGAGUUUGAAUUCCCUUAAUCAUACGACUGGGACUUGUUUAUAUUUUGUAGACAACUCAAUGUAGUUACACACAUAAGAGUUACAGAUAGAGUAGGACUAUUGUGAGACUGUUACAGGACAGAGUAGGACUAUUACGGGGUAAUAUUCCUAGCCAUAGUGGCGCUAACAACUCUUGGGUAGAUGUAGAAGACUUAAGUCAAAGGCUGAUGUUAAGCUGAAGUGAUAAGGGUUGUUGUAACGUCCUUGAUAUGCCCCUGCAAGCAAAGUGGCCGGGCACGGACAAUGAGCUUGGCACGAACAUUAUUAAACCAAGAAGCAGGGAGACCCUUGGUCAUGAUAUUUGAUCUUGCGUUGGAACAAACCGAAUGCAGAGCCAAGUGGAAAUCUAUCUCAGUGUGUUUGGUUCAGGUAUGAAAUAGGGGGUUGGCUACAAGGUAAGUGGCCCCAAUGUUGUCACAAUAUAGCAUUGGCGGUGGAGAAGAGAUUCCAAGGUCGAGCAAGAGUUGACGUAGCCAGAGAAGCUCGGUAGUAGUUGAUGGCCAUACCCUUGUACUCAUACUCGGUCGAGGAUCGCACUACAGUGUGCUACUUCUUGGAACUCCAAGAAAUGAGGUUGGGGCCAAGGUAGAUGCAAUAGCCAUUGGUGGAUCAAUGCUCAUCGGGAUAGCCAGCCCAAUCAGCAUCCAUGUUGGCAUUAAGCUGUAGGGAUGGUGAGGGCGUAGGAGAAUGCCAAACUGUAGGGUAUCCUUAAGAUAUCGUAGUAUCUUUUUGACAGCGGCCCACUGCUCAGUUGUUGGAUAGUGCUUAAAUUGGCAAACCUAGUUGACCGAAAAGGCAAUGUCUGGGCAAGUCAAGGUGAAAUACUAAAGGGCAACAAUGAUGCUCCGGUAUUGGGUAGGAUCAUGGAAGGUAGUAGACCCUUGGAUGCAAGACAAUGCGAUGGUGGAGUAGGGAGUCGGCAUAGGCUAUUGGUUGCCCCAUAUUGGCCUUACAAAGGAGGUGAAAGGUGUACUUAGUUUGGGAGAGAGAGAGUCCCUCAGAUGUGCAGAUAGCCUCUAUACAAAGGAAGAAAUGGAGGUCAUCUUGGUCCUUAAUGGCAAAUUCAUUUCCAAGGGAGGUAAUGAGGCCUUGGAUAGCAGGGGAACCAGACCCAGUGACGAUGAUGUCAUCAAUAUAGACCAAGACAUAGAGAAGACAAAGCGAACAUCAACGAGCAAAAAGAGAGCAGUUUCAGAUGAGGAGGACUUGAAGCCUUGAGAUGCCAAAAAGAAACCAAGUCAAUGUGCCCAGGUGCCAGGUGCCAGGUGCCUGUUUAAGGCUAGACAAUGCGUGCUUGAGGUGGCAAAUUUAGUUGGGGAAGGCGGGAUCUACAAAGCCUUGGGACUGGGACAUGUAAACAUUUCCCUGAAGCGUCCCAUGUAGGAAAGCACUUUGAAUGUCAAGCUGUUGAAGAACCCAACCACAAGAAACCAUUAUAGAGAGCAUUGUAUGGAUUGUAGUUGGCUUGACGACCAGACUAAAUGUGUCAAAUAGUCAAUGUCCUCUCUUUGGUGAAAGCCCUUAGCAACCAAACGGACCUUGUAACGAGCAACUGUGCCACAGAAUGAUGUUCAAUGUGGUAAACCCAUUUAUUUCCAAUAAGGUUCAAACUAGGGAUUGGAGGGACAAGGCACCACGUCUCAUUUUGCAUCAACGCAUUGAACUCUUCACACAUGGCAGUCCGCAAAUGAGGGUCUUUGCUUGCCAUGGUAUAGGAAGUGGUUCAACAUCAUAAAUGGGAAGUGUGGUGAGAAGGGCAUGGGAAAUGGGGUGUUUGGUGGCAAGGAGGUUGAGCUUGGAGAUGGGUUUAUGGACACCAGCCUGAAGGCAAGUAACCAUGGGGUGAGAGGGAGGUGGGGCAGAUUUGGAAGGGGGAAGAUUACAUGUAACCGAGCAGGUGGGAAUAUAAGUGUUAAAGGGGGUAGGGGAAGAACAAGGCAGUGAAAGGGGGUAGUGAUAAAUCUAAUCGGUGUUGGGAGAGGUUACAAGGAAGAGAAGAAGGGGAAGGGGUAUUACAUUAUCUUGUGUGAUCACGAGGGGAGGGCAAGCAUGGGUUGGGGGAGGGGAAUUACAAGUAAUGGGGGUGGCAUAAGGAAAAACAGAUUCAUCAAACAACACAUGCCGAGAGAUGUAAGUACGUCCGAUGGUAGGGACAAAACAUUUGGAGCCCUUGUGUACAUUAUUGUAGCCAAGGAAGCUGCAUUUAGUGGACCGAUACUCUUAACUUAUGUCGGUUAUGAGGGCGUGAGCAAGGUAACAAGCACACCCGGAAGUCUGAAGGCACAAGUUGUUAGGAGCUCGACCAAAGAGAACCUCAAAGGGAGAGUGAUGCUGCAAAAUUGGGGUGAGCAGCUGAUUGAUCAAAUGUCCAGCAGUCUCAAAGGCAGGAAGCCAUAGGGACAUUAGAAAAAAAGCUUGAGCCAUAAGUGUUAACCCAGUUUCAAUGAUAUGGCGGUGCUUGCAUUUAGCUCUUCCAUUUUGUUCUGAAAUGCAAGGACAUGAAUACUGAUGGGUAAUUCAUUUUUGCUUGAAUAAAUGAUCAAAUAUUUGAUAUUCACGUUCUGAAUUUUACAAUGGAAAUGAUUUUCUACUAACGUGUGAAAAUUAAUAAAAGUAGAUAACGCCUCAAAGUGGCGAACAAGAGGAAAUAACCAAGUAAAUCUAUUGAAGUCAUCUACAAAAGAAAUGUAAUACUAGUAGCCCUGAGGCUAGGAGAUAGGGGAGGGUCCCCAAAUGUCUACAUGGACCAACUGAAAAGGGGGAAGUGGCAUUAGCCUUAGUCAAGGGAAAGGAGAUCAUAUAAGACUUUUCCAUCUGGAAAGAUUCACGAACCGAGGAGGGGGAGGAGCCGUGGAUAGGGAGUUAAGAUCGAAGAGAUUCUAAGCAUUUUGAGGUGGGGUGGCCAAGGUGGUCAUGCCAAAUUGAAGCAGGUAUACAUUCACCAAUAUGGAUUCCAGUUGUGGGUUUGAGAGAAGAUUUGGUGAUGAUGGUAGGCCUAGAAGAUGGUACAGUCAUCCUUAGUCGUUCCCUAGAGCGGAACCGUCCUUGUGCAAGGAUCCUUCACAUAGAAACAAUGAGGGUGAACUUCUAAAAUAGACAUUAUUAUCACCUAUGAAGCGACAGACAGAGAGUUGGUUAUUGAUUAUGUGAGGGACAUGUAACACAUCAUGAAGACGAAAAUCGCAAGUAGAAGAGGGAAUCUGAGAAAUACCGAUGUGUUUGAUAUGCAAACUUUCCCUGUUGCCGACUUGCCGACUUGCCGACCUGCACUUAGUCAGAACCAGUGUAUGGAGAGUGAAGAUUCAGAUUGCUAAGAUCAGUUAUGAGAUGAUGAGUGGCGUCCAAAUCGGGAUACCAAGCUGAGUCAUAGGCAGUGGAGGGAAUCGCAAGCAGAGCAUGGGGAGGAGCUGGAGAAGAUUGGAAGCUCGGGUUGACUCUAUUGUAGCAGGAGAGAGCGGAGUGGUUCCCAUGAGCAUAGAUUUGAUAGAGAUUGGAAGACCCAGAGGAGGGUUAACUGCCUUGCUGUUGAGAGGAACUGCGGCCACGCUGAUUGUUUAACCGAUGGCCAGUGUUGGUGUCCUUAGUGGUGCUAUUAGGACUAGCAGGUAGCGGCAAUGGCUUCGGUUGUGGGAAGGUCCAAAAGUGGGGAGAGUUGCUCCUUGAGAAUCUCUUAGUUGAGGAGUAGCCUAGUGAAGUCAUUCAAAGACGAGGGAUCCAAACACGUAGUAACAGAUGUGGCGAAUGAAUAAUAGUUUGAACCAAGACCAAGAAGAAUAUUGAGUAUCACGUCGGGUUCAAAGACUGGAUGAGCAACGAUAGUAAGAUGGUUUAGGAUUUCCUUCACUCGUCGGACAUAGUCAGACAUGGACAGAGUGACCUUUUUAAUCUGAAAAAGUUGUUACUUAUGCUGCAUGAUGCGUGCCUGUGAUUGCGAAGCAUAGAUGCGCUCCAGUGUAGUCCAAUCACCAUGAGAAGUGGGAAUGCCAAUAAUGUGGGCGAGGGAAUGAUUGGUGAGGGAAGAGAUGAUCCAGCUGAGGAUGAUCUGGUCCUGGCGACGCCAUUGGGUGUAAGCCGGGUUAUCAAUGAGGAGAGUAGUGAAGGAUAAAGAAGCGGGAGGGAGAGUCUUGGGUGGGCAAGCAAGAACGCCGUCAAUGUAUCCAUAUAAAUCAUCUACAUAGAGAAGGGGAAGAAAUUAGGACUUCUAUAAAAUAUAAUUGGACCAAUCUAGUUUCCCUGGGAGUAGGGAAAUGAUAUUUAUAGGAGAGAUAAGGUUGGGAGAUGAUGUGGUGGUGGAGGAGGUUAGGGAAGAAUUAGAGGAGGUCAUGACCGAUGAGGACUUGUGUCAAUGGCUCUGAUACCAUGAAAGAUCUUAAGAUAGAGUUUGGUUUCCCUUAGUCAUAUGACUGGGACUUGUAUUGUAUUUAUAGACAGCUCAAUGUAGUUACACAGAUAAGAGUUACAAAUAGAGUAGGAUUAUUGUGAGAUUGUUAAAGAAUAGAGUAUGACUGUUAUAGGAUAAUAUUCCUAGCUAUAGUGGUGCUAACAAAUCUUGGGUACAUUAGAAGACUCAGUCAAAGGCUGAUAUUGAGUUGGAGUGAUAAGGGUUGUUGCAGUGUCCUUGCUAGGAACCAUCUUUAUUAAAUGUCACUCUCAGUGGUAAAACUUGUCCUUAAUUUCC
Macadamia integrifolia is the source of this 7769-nucleotide long non-coding RNA. RefSeq lists it as uncharacterized. The record is from RefSeq and is a predicted model, not a curated record. Lineage: Eukaryota; Viridiplantae; Streptophyta; Magnoliopsida; Proteales; Proteaceae. The transcript has 2 exons.